UACGUAGGGUGCAAACAUUACCCGGAUUCACUGGGCGUAAAGAGUUCGUAGGCGGUUUUGUAAGUUGGAUAUUAAAGACCCCGGCUCAACCGGGGGAGUGUAUCCAAAACUGCAUAACUAGAGGCAUGCAGGGGAAGAUGGAACUUGUGGUGUAGCAGUGAAAUGCGUAGAUAUCACAAGGAACGCCAAUGGUGAAGACAGUCUUCUGGGCAUAGCCUGACGCUGAGGAACGAAAGCGUGGGGAGCGAACGGG
This 253-nucleotide ribosomal RNA is filed under the name uncultured bacterium. RNAcentral's name for it is "partial 16S ribosomal RNA". It matches the Rfam family "Bacterial small subunit ribosomal RNA", at positions 524 to 776 of the family's 1533-position model. The record is from RNAcentral.